AUACGUAUGUCGCAAGCGUUAUCCGGAUUUAUUGGGCGUAAAGCGCGUCUAGGCGGCUUAGUAAGUCUGAUGUGAAAAUGCGGGGCUCAACCCCGUAUUGCGUUGGAAACUGCUAAACUAGAGUACUGGAGAGGUAGGCGGAACUACAAGUGUAGAGGUGAAAUUCGUAGAUAUUUGUAGGAAUGCCGAUGGGGAAGCCAGCCUACUGGACAGAUACUGACGCUAAAGCGCGAAAGCGUGGGUAGCAAACAGGAUUAGAUACCCUGGUAGUCCACGCCGUAAACGAUGAUUACUAGGUGUUGGGGGUCGAACCUCAGCGCCCAAGCUAACGCGAUAAGUAAUCCGCCUGGAGAGUACGUACGCAAGUAUGAAACUCAAAGGAAUUGACGGGG
RNAcentral lists this ribosomal RNA (392 nucleotides) under uncultured bacterium. Its description in RNAcentral is "partial 16S ribosomal RNA". It matches the Rfam family "Bacterial small subunit ribosomal RNA", at positions 523 to 918 of the family's 1533-position model. The record is from RNAcentral.